GAACAUGUGUUCAUACAAAGUAUUGAGAUGCAAGGCAGAUUUGAUGUGCAACUCUGGUAUGUAAUUUGUCAUAGCUUCUACUGGUUGCAUAUUGCUGGAGCACUUGAUGUUUCCAUAAUUCCUUGCUUCUGCCUCAGUGACAUUGUCUACUUGCAUGGGGAAAGAAUGCUAAUUUAUUGGGACACAUUCAGAAUAAAUCUAUUUAUAUUGCAUACCAGGCAAAAUACUAUAUUGUCUUAUAUAUGGAUUUGGAGAGAAAUAUAUCGUAGCAUUCAAUUCGGAAUUCAUAUAUUUGUUAUUGCUCAACAAUCAGAUGGGAUUAUGGUGACUAUCUUUUUUCCAGUCCCAUUAUUCGACGGUUAUCUCAAUGAUAUAGGCUACCAUACAGGUUUUCCUUUUCUAUUCAAAUCUGAGGACACUAUUUUUGCCCUCCCUUUGAAACUGGCAAGAAGGCAGUUUUAUUGUUCUAUAUAAUGUUUCUCAUAUUGUUCCAUGUGAUGGUAAAAGGAACUAUCGAAAUGGUGACUUGAGGGAUAAGCUUGACAGAAGGCUAUCUCCUGAGCGAAGAUAUUCUCCAAGAAGAGACGCGAGAGACCAACAGACAUUGCGGGGAUAUAGCCCUUUGAGGUCCAUUGACAAAAAGAGGUAAUU
Molecule: long non-coding RNA, 651 nt
Organism: Hibiscus syriacus
Lineage: Eukaryota; Viridiplantae; Streptophyta; Magnoliopsida; Malvales; Malvaceae
Exons: 3
Source: RefSeq, a predicted model, not a curated record